Chenopodium quinoa (quinoa) is the source of this 287-nucleotide long non-coding RNA. RefSeq lists it as uncharacterized. Lineage: Eukaryota; Viridiplantae; Streptophyta; Magnoliopsida; Caryophyllales; Amaranthaceae. The record is from RefSeq and is a predicted model, not a curated record. The transcript has 2 exons.
CCUUGAUUGCAAUGAGACUAUCGAAUUCAUAUUUCAUGAUGAUGCUAAGAAACACGACAGGGGUGCCAAGAAUCGUUACACUUGUUGAGUUGUAUAGGUGCUGUAAUGGGAAGGCUGGAGAAAGCUGCUGCUUGGAGCUGGAAUGCUGAUUCUAGUCUUAUUGGUGUAGUGCUGUUGCUGAAUUUCUGUUUUGAUGCUAAUGAAAAUCAUUUUUGCACUCUUUGAGCUUACAAAAUCUAAAGAUACAUUCUUAUAUUUUAUUUGAUGGGUGUUAGCAUUUUAGUCAA